GACGAGGGGUCCAAGCGUUGUUCGGAAUCAUUGGGCGUAAAGCGGGCGUAGGCGGCUCUAUAAGUCAGAAGUGAAAGCCCCGGGCUUAACCCGGGAAGUGCUUUUGAUACUGCAGAGCUUGAAUGUGGGAGAGGGUAGUGGAAUUCCAGGUGUAGUGGUGAAAUACGUAGAUAUCUGGAGGAACACCGGUGGCGAAGGCGGGUCUCUGGGCCGUAACUGACGCUGAGGAGCGAAAGCAUGGGGAGCGAACAGG
This 253-nucleotide ribosomal RNA is filed under the name uncultured bacterium. Its description in RNAcentral is "partial 16S ribosomal RNA". It matches the Rfam family "Bacterial small subunit ribosomal RNA", at positions 524 to 776 of the family's 1533-position model. The record is from RNAcentral.